UACGUAGGGUGCGAGCGUUAAUCGGAAUUACUGGGCGUAAAGCGUGCGCAGGCGGCUUUGCAAGACAGAUGUGAAAUCCCCGGGCUCAACCUGGGAACUGCAUUUGUGACUGCAAGGCUAGAGUACGGCAGAGGGGGAUGGAAUUCCGCGUGUAGCAGUGAAAUGCGUAGAUAUGCGGAGGAACACCAAUGGCGAAGGCAAUCCCCUGGGCCUGUACUGACGCUCAUGCGCGAAAGCGUGGGGAGCAAACAGG
Molecule: ribosomal RNA, 253 nt
Filed under: uncultured bacterium
Lineage: Bacteria
Description: partial 16S ribosomal RNA
Rfam family: Bacterial small subunit ribosomal RNA
Source: RNAcentral